RNAcentral lists this ribosomal RNA (253 nucleotides) under uncultured bacterium. RNAcentral's name for it is "partial 16S ribosomal RNA". It matches the Rfam family "Bacterial small subunit ribosomal RNA", at positions 524 to 776 of the family's 1533-position model. The record is from RNAcentral.
UACGAAGGUGGCAAGCGUUACUCGGAAUUACUAGGCGUAAAGGGCAGGUAGGUGGUUCGGUUAGUCUGUUGUGAAAGCUCCUUGCUUAACGGGGAGAGGUCAACAGAUACUGCCGGACUUGAGUAUAGGAGAGGGUACUGGAAUUCCCGGUGUAGCGGUGAAAUGCGCAGAGAUCGGGAGGAACACCAAUGGCGAAAGCAGGUACCUGGACUAUUACUGACACUCAGCUGCGAAAGCUAGGGGAGCAAACAGG